This 209-nucleotide long non-coding RNA is filed under the name Mytilus galloprovincialis (Mediterranean mussel). The record is from RNAcentral. Lineage: Eukaryota; Metazoa; Mollusca; Bivalvia; Mytilida; Mytilidae.
UCUCAGGGUAACAGUCUGCUCUAUCAAACCCUCAGCUAUACACUAUUCAUAUCAGUGCAAUGUGCAAUUCUUCAAGUGAUAUUUUUUUUCAACAUUAUGUAAUAUAUGGCAGAUAGUAAGUAGUGAAUCUGUUUUUGAAUAAAUGUGUAACAAGGCAUCUGUUUGUGUGAAUGUAUUUAUGAUGAAAUGAGUGGUUGUAUGAUAGUGAA